UCGCGGCUUAUCACCGGCAGUCUCCCUAGAGUGCCCAACUGAAUGAUGGCAACUAAGGACGUGGGUUGCGCUCGUUGCGGGACUUAACCCAACAUCUCACGACACGAGCUGACGACAGCCAUGCAGCAUCUGUGGUGCACCCUCGAAGGUCACACGUUUCCUACCACCGACAUGUCAAGCCUAGGUAAGGUUCUUCGCGUUGCGUCGAAUUAAACCACAUGCUCCACCGCUUGUGCGGGCCCCCGUCAAUUCCUUUGAGUUUCAACCUUGCGGUCGUACUCCCCAGGCGGGGUACUUCCUGCGUUAGCGCCGGCACCCAGAGGGUCGCUCCCCCAGGCACCUAGUACCCAUCGUUUACGGCGUGGACUAC
Molecule: unclassified non-coding RNA, 370 nt
Filed under: uncultured bacterium
Lineage: Bacteria
Description: contains 16S-23S intergenic spacer region
Source: RNAcentral